This 597-nucleotide ribosomal RNA is filed under the name Saccharomyces cerevisiae (brewer's yeast). Its description in RNAcentral is "partial large subunit ribosomal RNA". It matches the Rfam family "Eukaryotic large subunit ribosomal RNA", at positions 41 to 652 of the family's 3401-position model. The record is from RNAcentral. Lineage: Eukaryota; Fungi; Ascomycota; Saccharomycetes; Saccharomycetales; Saccharomycetaceae.
UAUUCAAUAGCGGAGGAAAAGAAACCAACCGGGAUUGCCUUAGUAACGGCGAGUGAAGCGGCAAAAGCUCAAAUUUGAAAUCUGGUACCUUCGGUGCCCGAGUUGUAAUUUGGAGAGGGCAACUUUGGGGCCGUUCCUUGUCUAUGUUCCUUGGAACAGGACGUCAUAGAGGGUGAGAAUCCCGUGUGGCGAGGAGUGCGGUUCUUUGUAAAGUGCCUUCGAAGAGUCGAGUUGUUUGGGAAUGCAGCUCUAAGUGGGUGGUAAAUUCCAUCUAAAGCUAAAUAUUGGCGAGAGACCGAUAGCGAACAAGUACAGUGAUGGAAAGAUGAAAAGAACUUUGAAAAGAGAGUGAAAAAGUACGUGAAAUUGUUGAAAGGGAAGGGCAUUUGAUCAGACAUGGUGUUUUGUGCCCUCUGCUCCUUGUGGGUAGGGGAAUCUCGCAUUUCACUGGGCCAGCAUCAGUUUUGGUGGCAGGAUAAAUCCAUAGGAAUGUAGCUUGCCUCGGUAAGUAUUAUAGCCUGUGGGAAUACUGCCAGCUGGGACUGAGGACUGCGACGUAAGUCAAGGAUGCUGGCAUAAUGGUUAUAUGCCGCCCGU